Long non-coding RNA from Amyelois transitella, 383 nucleotides. RefSeq lists it as uncharacterized. The record is from RefSeq and is a predicted model, not a curated record. The transcript is spliced from 2 exons. Lineage: Eukaryota; Metazoa; Arthropoda; Insecta; Lepidoptera; Pyralidae.
GCAAUGUGCCGUAGAAACGCACGUGCGGACAACACGAGACGAGACAUGUUUAAUUUCAUGAUAAAUUUCUAUCAGAUAUCUAAAGUGACGUCGGCAGAUAAAAAUAAAUAGCCACAUUCAUCAAUCUUUUCAUGUCAGAACUUCAUAAUGUAAGGGAAAUAUAAAAAAAAACUUACCUGCACAGUAACAACUGCUUCUUGAGUCAGGAGUGUCUUUGAAGAGUCUGAUGGAUGAGGAGUGUAUCUUACUGUUUCAUCAACAGCAAUAUAGUGGCAGAAGGUCAAGUUCGUAGUUUUUAAAGUCAUAAGCCUCUGUUGGGGGUUCACCUCUGAUUUUUCACUUGCAUAGCAUAUUUUCGCCGUUCCUAUAAUCUGAAAAUAAAA